UUUAAAAUAGAGACCAACGUGGCCGGGCAGGAAGAGCAGGGUCCCGCCUUCAGGUGUUUGGGACUCAGCUGAGGGUGUGGGUGCCCCGCGGUGGGGGCUGAACCUUCCUGGGGUGUGGAGAGACGAAAGGAGCCCAGAUCCAAGUUCCCUCGUUCCCGCUUUGGCAUAAGUUGCCCUGGCGGUCUCAUGAGAGAGAGAAAGAGCUGGGACCCUCCUCGCCCCAGUGAGUGUGAUGUCUUGCUCCGGGUGUCCUGGGGCAACUUUCUAUACAGGCGGGACGUGGGAGGAUCAGACAGUGUAACAUCAGACAAGGGUGUUGACUCUGCAGCACAGAACCAGUAGUUUGUGGAGAAGAAUGGAGGUGUGGUGUUGAAUCUGCUAGACAGGCUACUGAAGCAAAAGUCAAGAGAUCCAGAUUCCAUCAUGGGGACACUUUAGCUGUUGUAAAAAGGAUUGAGUUCUUGAUUGAUUCCCAGCUUGGUCAUUGGUGUAUAGCAGUGCUACUGAUUUGUUUACAUUCAUUUUGUAACCUGAGACUUUACUGAAUUCGUGUAUCAGAUCUAGGAGCCUUUUGGUUCUUCAUCGGGUAAUUGAGCUGAUAUCAGGUGUCUGAAGGAGGCAAGUUUUGAAGAUGUGGGUCAUGAUGGCUGCUGAAGCUUCCACUCCAUAUUUGAAGGUCAGCAGUUCUCAGGAAACCUCUAGCACUUCCAUCCCUGGUGGGAUGUGAUGCCUGUCUCAGUGUAACAUCAGAGAAGGGGUGUACUCUGUGCCCUAGAACUAGGAGCUAACAGAGAAAAACCAAAUGUGAUGUGGAGUCUGCUAGACAGGCUACUGGAGCAAGAGUGAAGCGAUGAAAGUCUCAUCAUUGGGACAUAUUAGGGAGGCAGCAGGUGGCUGAAAUCCUGGUGUGAUGUGGCUGGAUCAUGCAUGAUCUGAGGACUCCUGCACAGAUGCAGUGGAUCCCCAGGUUGCAAGUCAUAUAACCUGAGCAUGCCCAGAUGAACCAAGUAUGCCUGAUUGGUGAACCUGGAACUGGCCAGAACAGAAAAUGUCAACCACAUGUGGAAUCUAAGUAUUCAGAUUGAGAAAUGAGGACCAAAAUGAGAACACUGAGCUCCUCACACAGGUGACUGAACCCGUGGUUUUGGUGUCUGAGAAGAUGCAGCUUCUCCAGUCUCUGCAACUGACGGCAGGAAGAUGGGAGCACUCAGCUUCAGUGUUCAGAAGCAGAUUUAGGCCAAUUGCCAUACCUUACGUUCUGGAGGGAUCCACCCUGACCUGAGCAGAAGGCAUCACACACAUUCCCAAGCAGCAUGGUUCCCGUGAGAAACUGAAAACUAAUUUCUUGAAUCUACAAUGCGA
RNAcentral lists this long non-coding RNA (1362 nucleotides) under Homo sapiens (human). Its description in RNAcentral is "HSALNT0284976". The record is from RNAcentral. Lineage: Eukaryota; Metazoa; Chordata; Mammalia; Primates; Hominidae.